This 1465-nucleotide ribosomal RNA is filed under the name uncultured prokaryote. RNAcentral describes it as "partial 16S ribosomal RNA". It matches the Rfam family "Bacterial small subunit ribosomal RNA". The record is from RNAcentral.
GAUGAACGCUGGCGGCAGGCCUAACACAUGCAAGUCGAGCGGCAGCGGGAAGUAGUUUACUACUUUGCCGGCGAGCGGCGGACGGGUGAGUAAUGCUUGGGAAUAUGCCUUAUGGUGGGGGACAACAGUUGGAAACGACUGCUAAUACCGCAUAAUCUCUAAGGAGCAAAGCAGGGGACCUUCGGGCCUUGCGCUAAAAGAUGAGCCUGCGUAAGAUUAGCUUGUUGGUGAGGUAAUGGCUCACCAAGGCGACGAUCUUUAGCUGGUCUGAGAGGAUGAUCAGCCACACUGGAACUGAGACACGGUCCAGACUCCUACGGGAGGCAGCAGUGGGGAAUAUUGCACAAUGGGCGCAAGCCUGAUGCAGCCAUACCGCAUGUGUGAAGAAGGCUUUCGGGUUGUAAAGCACUUUCAGCGAGGAGGAAGGAGUUGUAGUUAAUACCUGCAACUAUUGAUGGUACCUGCAAAAGAAGCACCGGCUAACUCCGUGCCAGCAGCCGCGGUAAUACGGAGGGUGCAAGUAUUAAUCGGAAUUACUGGGCGUAAAGCGCGCGUAGGCGGCUUGUUAAGCUAGAUGUGAAAGCCCCGGGCUCAACCUGGGAACUGCAUUUAGAACUGACUCGCUAGAGUACAGUAGAGGGUGGUAGAAUUUCAGGUGUAGCGGUGAAAUGCGUAGAGAUCUGAAGGAAUACCAGUGGCGAAGGCGGCCACCUGGACAAUAACUGACGCUCAUGUACGAAAGCGUGGGGAGCAAACGGGAUUAGAUACCCCGGUAGUCCACGCCGUAAACGAUGUCAACUAGCCGACUGGCGCCUUGAGCGCUGGGUGGCGCAGCUAACGCGAUAAGUAGACCGCCUGGGGAGUACGGCCGCAAGGUUAAAACUCAAAUGAAUUGACGGGGGCCCGCACAAGCGGUGGAGCAUGUGGUUUAAUUCGAUGCAACGCGAAGAACCUUACCUACUCUUGACAUCCACGGAAUUUAGCAGAGAUGCUUUAGUGCCUUCGGGAACCGUGAGACAGGUGCUGCAUGGCUGUCGUCAGCUCGUGUUGUGAAAUGUUGGGUUAAGUCCCGUAACGAGCGCAACCCUUGUCCUUAUUUGCCAGCACGUAAUGGUGGGAACUCUAAGGAGACUGCCGGUGACAAACCGGAGGAAGGUGGGGACGACGUCAAGUCAUCAUGGCCCUUACGAGUAGGGCUACACACGUGCUACAAUGGUGAGUACAGAGGGAAGCAAACUUGCGAGAGUAAGCGGAUCCCUUAAAGCUCAUCGUAGUCCGGAUCGGAGUCUGCAACUCGACUCCGUGAAGUCGGAAUCGCUAGUAAUCGCAAAUCAGAAUGUUGCGGUGAAUACGUUCCCGGGCCUUGUACACACCGCCCGUCACACCAUGGGAGUGGGUUGCAAAAGAAGUGGGUAGGCUAACCUUCGGGAGGUCGCUCACCACUUUGUGAUUCAUGACUGGGGUG